This 1002-nucleotide ribosomal RNA is filed under the name marine metagenome. Its description in RNAcentral is "bacterial SSU rRNA". It matches the Rfam family "Archaeal small subunit ribosomal RNA", at positions 21 to 1028 of the family's 1478-position model. The record is from RNAcentral.
AGGCUACUGCUAUUGGAGUUCGAUUAAGCCAUGCGAGUCUAAGGGACUUCGGUCCCUGGCAUAAUGCUCAGUAACAAGUGGAUAAUCUGCCCUCAGGUGAGGAAUAAACCCGGGAAACUGGGGCUAAUACCUCAUAGACACAGAAAGCUGGAAUGCUUCUGUGUUCAAAGCUCCGGCGCCUGAGGAUGAGUCUGCGGCCUAUCAGGUAGUAGUCAGGGUCACGACCUGACUAGCCAGCGACGGGUACGGGGUGUGAGAGCACUUGCCCGGAGAUGGUUUCUGAGACACGAAACCAGGCCCUACGGGGCGCAGCAGGCGCGAAAACUUCGCAAUGCGGGAAACCGUGACGAGGGAACUCCAAGUGUCUAUGCAAUGCAUAGACUGUUUUUCAGCCUAAAUCGCUGUUAGAGUAAGGGGUGGGUAAGACCGGUGCCAGCCGCCGCGGUAACACCGGCACCCCGAGUGGUAGCCACUAUUAUUGGGCCUAAAGCGUUCGUAGCCGGUUUGGUAAAUUCUUGGGUAAAUCGUACCGCUUAACGGUGCGGAUUCCGGGGACACUACCAGACUUGAGACUGGGGGAGAUCAGAGGUACUUGCGGGGGAGCGGUGAAAUGUUGUAAUCCCGCAGGGACCACCAGUGGCGAAGGCGUCUGAUCAGAACGGUUCUGACGGUGAGGAACGAAACCCUGGGGCGCAAACGGGAUUAGAUACCCCGGUAGUCCAGGGCGUAAACGCUGCUGACUUGGUGUUGGAGAUCCUACGAGGGUGUCCAGUGCUGGCGCGAAGGUAUUAAGUCAGCCGCCUGGGGAGUACGGUCGCAAGACUGAAACUUAAAGGAAUUGGCGGGGGAGCACUGCAACGUGUGGAGCGUGCGGUUUAAUUGGAUUCAACGCCGGAAAACUCACCGGGGGCGACGGUUACAUGAAGGCCAAGCUGAUGACUUUGCCUGAUUUUCCGAGAGGUGGUGCAUGGCCGCCGUCAGUUCGUACCGUAAGGCGUUCUG